GAUAAACGCUGGCGGCGUGCUUUACCAAUGCGAGUCGUGCGGGUCAUCGAAAGAUGGCAAGCGGCGUCCGGGUGCGUAACACGUGGGUGACCUACCUUGAUGUGGGGGAUACCCGCCCGAAAGGGUGGCUAAUACCGCAUACGCUCUCUCCUCCUGGGGAAAGAGCAAAGCCCGCGAGGGCGCAUUUAGAGGGGGCCCGCGGCCUAUCAGCUUGAUGGUGAGGUAAUGGCUCACCAUGGCUUUGACGGGUAGCCGGUCUGAGAGGACGAACGGCCACAGUGGGACUGAAAU
This 291-nucleotide ribosomal RNA is filed under the name uncultured bacterium. RNAcentral's name for it is "partial 16S ribosomal RNA". It matches the Rfam family "Bacterial small subunit ribosomal RNA", at positions 28 to 325 of the family's 1533-position model. The record is from RNAcentral.